AUUGAACGCUGCGGCCAGGUUUACCCCUGCCAAUCGAACGAGGGGCGGAGGGGGGGGUAAUUUUGGGGAAACUGCCUGAUGGAGGGGGAUACCUACUGGAAACGUUAGCUAAUACCGCAUAUCACCAGAUGUGCCCAGAUGGGUUUGACUAGUAGGUGGGGUAAUGGCUCACCUAGGCGACGAUCCCUAGCUGGUCUGAGAGGAUGACCAGCCACACUGGGACUGAGACACGGCCCAGACGCCUACGGGAGGCAGCAGUGGGGAAUAUUGCACAAUGGGCGCAAGCCUGAUGCAGCCAUGCCGCGUGUAUGAAGAAGGCCUUAGGGUUGUAAAGUACUUUCAGUCGGGAGGCGUUACCCACAGAAGAAGCACCGGCUAACUCCGUGCCAGCAGCCGCGGUAAUAC
Molecule: ribosomal RNA, 405 nt
Filed under: uncultured bacterium
Lineage: Bacteria
Description: partial 16S ribosomal RNA
Rfam family: Bacterial small subunit ribosomal RNA
Source: RNAcentral